Molecule: ribosomal RNA, 253 nt
Filed under: uncultured bacterium
Lineage: Bacteria
Description: partial 16S ribosomal RNA
Rfam family: Bacterial small subunit ribosomal RNA
Source: RNAcentral
UACGUAGGGGGCGAGCGUUGUCCGGAUUCAUUGGGCGUAAAGCGCGCGUAGGCGGCUUCGUAAGUCUGCCGUGAAAUCUCCAGGCUUAACUUGGAGGGGUCGGGCGAGACUGCGGAGCUCGAGGUGGGCAGAGGGCAGUGGAAUUCCGGGUGUAGUGGUGGAAUGCGUAGAGAUCCGGAGGAACACCAGUGGCGAAGGCGGCUGCCUGGGCCUGGCCUGACGCUGAGGCGCGAAAGCUAGGGGAGCAAACGGG